GACUACCGGGGUAUCUAAUCCUGUUUGCUCCCCACGCUUUCGUGCCUCAGUGUCAGUGCUGGCCCAGGUAGUCGCCUUCGCCACGGAUGUUCCUCCCGAUCUCUACGCAUUUCACUGCUACACCGGGAAUUCCACUACCCUCUACCGCACUCUAGCUAUCCAGUAUCCAAUGCCAUUCCCAGGUUGAGCCCAGGGCUUUCACAUCAGACUUAAACAACCACCUACGCACGCUUUACGCCCAGUAAUUCCGAGUAACGCUUGCACCCUUCGUAUUACCGCGGCUGCUGGCACGAAGUUAGCCGGUGCUUAUUCUUUGGGUACCGUCAGAACAAUCGGGUAUUAACCAACUGCUUUUCUUCCCCAACAAAAGAGCUUUACAACCCGAGGGCCUUCUUCACUCACGCGGCAUGGCUGGAUCAGGCUUGCGCCCAUUGUCCAAUAUUCCCCACUGCAGCCACCCGUAGG
Molecule: ribosomal RNA, 465 nt
Filed under: uncultured Lysobacteraceae bacterium
Lineage: Bacteria; Pseudomonadati; Pseudomonadota; Gammaproteobacteria; Lysobacterales; Lysobacteraceae
Description: uncultured Xanthomonadaceae bacterium partial 16S ribosomal RNA
Source: RNAcentral